CUACGGGAGGCUCCAGUGAGGAAUAUUGCACAAUGGGGGGAACCAUGAUGCAGCAACGCCGCGUGGAGGAUGACGCAUUUCGGUGUGUAAACUCCUUUUAUAUGUCAAGAAAAUGACGGUAGCAUAUGAAUAAGCGCCGGCUAACUCCGUGCCAGCAGCCGCGGUAAUACGGAGGGUGCAAGCGUUACUCGGAAUCACUGGGCGUAAAGGACGCGUAGGCGGGUUGGAAAGUCAGGUGUGAAAUCCUACAGCUUAACUGUAGAACUGCACUUGAAACUUCUAAUCUAGAGUAUGGGAGGGGGAGAUGGAAUUAGUGGUGUAGGGGUAAAAUCCGUAGAUAUCACUAGGAAUACCUAAAGCGAAGGCGAUCUCCUGGAACAUUACUGACGCUAAGGCGUGAAAGCGUGGGGAGCAAACAGGAUUAGAUACCCCAGUAGUC
This 439-nucleotide ribosomal RNA is filed under the name uncultured bacterium. Its description in RNAcentral is "partial 16S ribosomal RNA". It matches the Rfam family "Bacterial small subunit ribosomal RNA", at positions 339 to 795 of the family's 1533-position model. The record is from RNAcentral.